Molecule: ribosomal RNA, 244 nt
Filed under: uncultured bacterium
Lineage: Bacteria
Description: partial 16S ribosomal RNA
Rfam family: Bacterial small subunit ribosomal RNA
Source: RNAcentral
CACGCCGUAAACGAUGAGUACUAGGUGUAGGGGGUAUCGACCCCCCUGUGCCGCAGUAAACACAAUAAGUACUCCGCCUGGGAAGUACGAUCGCAAGAUUAAAACUCAAAGGAAUUGACGGGGACCCGCACAAGCAGCGGAGCAUGUGGUUUAAUUCGAAGCAACGCGAAGAACCUUACCUGGACUUGACAUCCCCUGAAUGACUCGUAAUGGAGGAAGCCCUACGGGGCAGGGAGACAGGUGG